GACGAACGCUGGCGGCGUGCUUAACACAUGCAAGUCGAACGGAAAGGCCCUGCUUGCAGGGUACUCGAGUGGCGAACGGGUGAGUAACACGUGGGUGAUCUGCCCUGCACUUCGGGAUAAGCCUGGGACACUGGGUCUAAUACCGGAUAGGAGCCAUUUUUAGUGCGAUGGUUGGAAAGUUUUUUCGGUGUAGGAUGAGCUCGCGGCCUAUCAGCUUGUUGGUGGGGUAAUGGCCUACCAAGGCGGCGACGGGUAGCCGGCCUGAGAGGGUGGACGGCCACAUUGGGGCUGCGAUACGGCCCAGACGCCUACGGGAGGCAGCAGUGGGGAAUAUUGCACAAUGGGCGCAAGCCUGAUGCAGCGACGCCGCGUGGGGGAUGACGGCCUUCGGGUUGUAAACUCCUUUCGCUAGGGACGAAGCUUUUUGUGACGGUACCUAGAUAAGAAGCACCGGCUAACUACGUG
Molecule: ribosomal RNA, 465 nt
Filed under: uncultured bacterium
Lineage: Bacteria
Description: partial 16S ribosomal RNA
Rfam family: Bacterial small subunit ribosomal RNA
Source: RNAcentral